AGGAAGAAAAGGGUGGUUCAAAGGGUAGAAAGUUUCGUAAAAAUGUGAAGGCAGUCGAAAAGGAGGUGUUUCAAUUAGAAGAAGACGUAAAGCUUCUUGAAGAGAUGUAUCCUCAAGGGGAAAAGGCUGAGACAACAUGGGCACUAACGAUUCUUGGUUAUCUGACAAAACUUGUUUUUGGAAUUUUAGGGUAAGC
This is a long non-coding RNA of Vigna radiata var. radiata (mung bean), 196 nucleotides long. RefSeq lists it as uncharacterized. The transcript is spliced from 3 exons. The record is from RefSeq and is a predicted model, not a curated record. Lineage: Eukaryota; Viridiplantae; Streptophyta; Magnoliopsida; Fabales; Fabaceae.